CCUACGGGAGGCAGCAGUAGGGAAUCUUCCACAAUGGGCGAAAGCCUGAUGGAGCAACGCCGCGUGGGUGAAGAAGGUCCUCGGAUCUUUAAACCUUGUUUUUAAAGAAGUAAGUGCGUGAGAGUAACUGUUCUCGCUUCGACGGUAUCAAACCAGAACGCCACGGCUAACUACGUGACAGCAGCCGCGGCAAUACGUAGGUGGCAAGCGUUAUCCGGAUUUAGUGGGCGUAAAGGGAACGCAGGCGGUCUUUUAAGUCUGAUGUGAAGGUCUGCGGCUUAACCGGAGUAGUGCAUUUGAAACUGGAAGACUUGAGUGCAGUAGAGGAGGGUGGAACUCGAGGUGUAGCGGUGAAAUGCGUAGAUAUAUGGAAGAACACCAGUGGCGAAAGCGGCUCUCUGGUCUGUAACUGACGCUGAGGUUCGAAAGCGUGGGUAGCAAACAGGAUUAGAUACCCUGGUAGUC
This 465-nucleotide ribosomal RNA is filed under the name uncultured bacterium. Its description in RNAcentral is "partial 16S ribosomal RNA". It matches the Rfam family "Bacterial small subunit ribosomal RNA", at positions 338 to 795 of the family's 1533-position model. The record is from RNAcentral.